ACAUAUUGUGAGCUUGAUGAGUAGGGCGGGACACGUGGUAUCCUGUCUGAAUAUGGGGGGACCAUCCUCCAAGGCUAAAUACUCCUGACUGACCGAUAGUGAACCAGUACCGUGAGGGAAAGGCGAAAAGAACCCCGGCGAGGGGAGUGAAAAAGAACCUGAAACCGUGUACGUACAAGCAGUGGGAGCACGCUUAGGCGUGUGACUGCGUACCUUUUGUAUAAUGGGUCAGCGACUUAUAUUCUGUAGCAAGGUUAACCGAAUAGGGGAGCCGAAGGGAAACCGAGUCUUAACUGGGCGUUAAGUUGCAGGGUAUAGACCCGAAACCCGGUGAUCUAGCCAUGGGCAGGUUGAAGGUUGGGUAACACUAACUGGAGGACCGAACCGACUAAUGUUGAAAAAUUAGCGGAUGACUUGUGGCUGGGGGUGAAAGGCCAAUCAAACCGGGAGAUAGCUGGUUCUCCCCGAAAGCUAUUUAGGUAGCGCCUCGUGAAUUCAUCUCCGGGGGUAGAGCACUGUUUCGGCAAGGGGGUCAUCCCGACUUACCAACCCGAUGCAAACUGCGAAUACCGGAGAAUGUUAUCACGGGAGACACACGGCGGGUGCUAACGUCCGUCGUGAAGAGGGAAACAACCCAGACCGCCAGCUAAGGUCCCAAAGUCAUGGUUAAGUGGGAAACGAUGUGGGAAGGCCCAGACAGCCAGGAUGUUGGCUUAGAAGCAGCCAUCAUUUAAAGAAAGCGUAAUAGCUCACUGGUCGAGUCGGCCUGCGCGGAAGAUGUAACGGGGCUAAACCAUGCACCGAAGCUGCGGCAGCGAC
RNAcentral lists this ribosomal RNA (819 nucleotides) under Shigella sonnei. Its description in RNAcentral is "partial 23S ribosomal RNA". It matches the Rfam family "Bacterial large subunit ribosomal RNA", at positions 392 to 1212 of the family's 2925-position model. Lineage: Bacteria; Pseudomonadati; Pseudomonadota; Gammaproteobacteria; Enterobacterales; Enterobacteriaceae. The record is from RNAcentral.